RNA transcript from Columba livia (rock pigeon), 13040 nucleotides. It is a transcript of the gene named contactin associated protein family member 5, with no coding region annotated. The record is from RefSeq and is a predicted model, not a curated record. NCBI's taxonomy places the organism in Eukaryota, Metazoa, Chordata, Aves, Columbiformes, Columbidae. The transcript has 26 exons.
AAGGGCUACAAGAGGUAGCUUCAUCUUACCCUGCUCCAAAGAUCCCCCAGAAGAGAUGUCAGCUCUGUGUGCCCAGACUCAGCUUUUACAGCUUCUACCUAAAGCCCUGGGUAUCGUGAGCACCUGAUUUACUCCAUGACUCUGAUGCUUAUCAACAACGCGUGAAGAUUGCAAUAAGGAUCCUCCCUGGAAGGCGAGGAGGAGUGACUUCCAGGGGGCUGGGAGGAGGUGGAGUGCAGCGCGGCUCUCGCCUAUAAGGAGGUGCCCAGCGCCCGGCUGCUGCUUCCCAGCCGCAGCUCGGGAGGUGAAUUUCCGAGGCAGCAGCUGGGGGAGCGGGCUGGGCUCGGGCGCUGCUGCCGGAGCUUGGAGUGGCUCCUCCAAGGGUCGCGGAGGAGGGUCCCUUGGCCGCCCCCCGCCUUCACCCGAAGUCCCUGGAUGCUGAUGGAGUAAAUGAGCGGAGGAAGAGGGAGCGCACAAAGGCUGAGAGGCGCUCGGAGAUCGGGACCAGGGGAGAGAGGCAGGCGGCUGGCUUCCCCCUUCGGGGCUGAACAUGGAUUCCCGGGCCCUCUGGGGCUUCACUCUGCUGCUUUUCAGUUUUUUGCACCUGGGAUUAACUGCAACAAAUUAUAAUUGUGAUGAUGCAUUGGUAUCUCCCUUACCUUCAUCAGCCCUUACCAGUUCCUCUGAGCUCUUCAGUACCCACAGUCCCAGCUUUGCAAAGCUCAACAGGCGAGAUGGAGCUGGUGGCUGGUCCCCAUUGGACUCAAAUGAGCAGCAGUGGCUGCAGGUUGAUCUGGGAGACCGAGUGGAGAUUGUCGCAGUCGCUACCCAGGGCAGGUAUGGGAGCUCAGACUGGGUGACCAGCUACACGCUGAUGUUCAGCGAUACCGGCCGCAACUGGAGACAGUACAGACAAGAUGACACGGUCUGGGUUUUCACAGGGAACAGCAAUGCUGACAGUGUGGUUCACCACAAGUUCCUGCACUCCAUGAAAGCCCGAUUCUUGCGCUUUGUUCCUCUGAAGUGGAAUGUCGGUGGACGGAUAGGACUGAGAGUUGAGGUCUUCGGCUGCUCCUAUAAGUCAGAUAUUGCAGACUUUGAUGGCAGAAGUUCACUCCUCUACAGGUUCAAUCAGAAGCUUAUGAGCACUUUCAAAGAUGUGGUUUCCUUGAAGUUCAAGAGCAUGCAGGGGGAUGGAGUCUUAUUCCAUGGAGAAGGGCAGCGUGGAGACUACAUCACCUUAGAACUGCAGAAAGGGAAGCUCUCCUUGCACAUCAGUCUGGGGGACUCUAACCUACACUUCAGUAACAGCCACACGUCUGUCACCCUGGGCAGCCUCCUGGAUGACCAGCAAUGGCAUUCGGUUCUCAUAGAGCGCUUCAACAAGCAAGUGAACUUCACAGUGGACAAACACACCCAGCAUUUCCGAACAAAGGGGGAUUCAGAUCACUUGGAUAUUGAUUAUGAGCUCAGUUUCGGAGGGAUUCCUGUCCCGGGAAAACCAGGAACCUUUCAGAGGAAAAAUUUCCAUGGGUGCAUUGAGAACCUUUAUUACAACGGAGUCAAUAUAAUUGACCUGGCAAAAAGGCGCAAACCUCAGAUCUAUACUGUGGGGAACGUGACAUUUUCCUGCUCUGAACCACAAAUUGUUCCUAUCACCUUCAUCAGUGCCAGUCGAAGCUACUUGUUACUACCCGGCACUCCUCAAAUUGAUGGUUUGUCAGUCAGCUUCCAGUUUCGAACAUGGAAUAAAGAUGGCUUACUUCUGUUCACCAAAUUGUCUGAAAAUUCAGGACCUCUCUUGGUUUACCUCCAUAGUGGGAGACUGACACUGCUUAUUCAGAAAGAGACAGAGAACCCAGUGGAAAUCAGUGAAGGAACAAAUCUCCAUGAUGGGCUUUGGCAUUCUGUUAAUAUCAAUGCCAGAAGACAUCGCAUUACCCUGACGCUGGACAACAAUGCUGCCACUGCUAGCCACGCAACCACAGUCUCCAGGAUCUACUCUGGGAAUAGCUACUAUUUUGGAGGGUGCCCUGACAAUUUCACUGAUUCCCGAUGUUUAAAUCCCAUUACUGCUUUUCAAGGCUGUAUGAGGCUCAUCUUUAUUGAUAACCAGCCCAAGGACCUCAUUUUAGUUCAGCAAGGCUCCCUGGGGAAUUUUAGUGAUUUACACAUGGAUCUGUGUGGCAUCAAAGACAGAUGUUUACCCAACUACUGUGAACAUGGAGGAAAAUGCACUCAGUCCUGGGCCACGUUUUACUGUGAUUGUAAUGGUACAGACUACAUGGGAGCUACUUGUCAUAACUCUAUCUAUGAACGAUCUUGUGAGGCUUACCGACACCAAGGGAGGACAUCAGGUUUCUUCUACAUUGAUUCUGAUGGAAGUGGACCACUUGGACCUCUCCGAGUUUUUUGCAAUAUAACAGAAGAUAAAAUCUGGACUACAGUGCAGCACAACAACACAGGGCUAACCAGAGUCCAAGGAGCUGGUCCGGAGAAGCCGUACACCAUGCCCUUUAACUACAACAGCAGUCUGGAGCAGCUUGAAGCCAUGAUAAACAGUGCAGAGUACUGCGAACAGGAGACAGCCUACCACUGCAAAAAGUCACGUCUCUUGAACACUCCGAAUGGAAUGCCAUUUGCUUGGUGGGUUGGCCGUGCCAAUGAAAAGCAUCUUUACUGGGGAGGAUCUCUUCCGGGCAUUCAACAGUGUGCAUGUGGACUGGAAGAAAGUUGUCUGGAUAUGAGAUAUUUUUGCAACUGUGACGCAGAUAGAGAAGAAUGGACAAAUGAUACCGGCCUUCUUACUUUCAAAGACCAUUUGCCUGUAACUCAGAUGGUGAUCACUGAUACAAACAGAUCAAAUUCUGAGGCUGCCUGGAAAAUCGGCCCUUUGCGUUGCUAUGGAGACAGGCAGUUCUGGAAUGCCGCUUCGUUCAACACAGAGGCCUCCUAUCUGCACUUCCCCACCUUCCAUGCUGAGGUCAGCGCGGACAUCUCCUUCUUCUUCAAAACUACCACCAUCUCUGGGGUGUUUUUGGAAAACCUUGGGAUUAAAGACUUCAUACGAGUUGAAAUAAGCUCCCCAAAAGAGAUCACCUUCUCCGUAGAUGUUGGGAAUGGCCCCACAGAAGCUACUGUGCAGUCUCCUACACCCCUGAAUGACAAUCAAUGGCACUAUGUCCGAGCAGAGAGGAACCUCAAGCAAACUUCUCUCCAGGUGGACAAUCUGCCCAAGAAGGUCCUGGAGGCACCUGCUGAGGGGCAUUUCCGCUUGCAGCUCAACAGUCAAUUAUUUGUAGGGGGAUCAGCUUCCAGACAAAAGGGAUUUUUGGGAUGCAUUCGAUCUCUGCAUUUAAAUGGACAGAAACUUGACCUUGAAGAGAGAGCUAAAAUGACGUCUGGUGUUAAACCUGGAUGUCCAGGACAUUGCAGCAGUUAUGGUAACCUGUGCCAUAAUGGAGGAAAAUGUGUGGAGAAGUAUAAUGGUUACUCCUGUGAUUGUACCAACUCAGCCUAUGAAGGACCUUUCUGCAAGGAAGAGGUUUCCGCAUUAUUUGAAGCUGGCACUUCCGUUACCUAUAUUUUCCAAGAACCUUACCCUGUAACAAAAAACGCAAGCACCUCAAGCUCUGCCAUUUAUGCGGAUGCUGUCAUGUCCAAGGAAAAUAUUGCAUUCAGCUUUCUCACGGCACAUACUCCAAGCCUUCUGCUCUACAUCAACACCUACUUUCAUGAAUAUUUGGCUGUGAUUCUCUCCAAGAAUGGAAGUUUACAGGUCCGAUACAAGCUGAGUAAGGAUGGACUCCUUAUUUUCACCGUUGACUCUGGAAAUUUUGCCAACCGAGAGCUGCACCAUGUGAAGAUUAACAGAGAAGGCAGAGAGCUCAUUAUUCAGGUUGAUCAAGUUCUCAAACUCAAACACAACUUUUCUGAGAUUGAUUUUAAGGCCAUCAAAUCACUCACCUUGGGCAAGGUCACAGGUUGUGUCCAGACAAUAGAGAAAACGGAUGAGGAAGCACAAUGCAGGCUUUCAUGUCCAAGCCAACUCGAUUCAAUAUAGUUUGACACUGGACCCUGAAGUCUCAAAAGCAAACGCCUACGGUUUCACUGGCUGCAUGUCCUCUGUUCAGUACAACCACAUUGCUCCCCUGAAAGCUGCCUUACGCCAUCCCAGCGUGGCUCCUGUGACUGUCAAAGGCUCCUUGACUGAAUCCAGCUGUGCAUCCAUCAUGGAAGCUGAUGUGAACACAGUAACUGCAAUAUAUUCCUCAUCAGAUCCUUUUGGGAAGACAGAUGAAAGGGAGCCUCUCACCAAUGCAGUCAGAAGUGAUUCAGCUGUGAUUGGAGGUGUAAUAGCAGUUGUGAUAUUCAUCAUAUUUUGCAUCAUUGCUAUCAUGAGCAGAUUCCUCUAUCAGCACAAACAAGCACAUCGAAAUAGCCAGACAAAGGAGAAGGAAUACCCAGAAAAUCUUGAGAGCUCCUUUAAAGCUGACAUUGACUUGCAGAACACAGUGAGCGAAUGCAAACGGGAAUAUUUCAUUUGACGGACAACACAAUUUCUUCUUAUAUUUAAUCCCCUAACCUUCAUUUCUUUAUUCCUUUUUUCCUCCCUUUUUUGGUUUUGUUUUUUUUUUUUUUUUAAACAUUCAUGUUUUGGUAGCUUCUUUUUCAUUUGGAAAAGACCACCCUGCACAGGAAACACUGACAACAGUCACAGUGCCUCAUGCUCUGCACAGGAACCUGGCAGUCACAGUUUACUUCUGCAGCUCGAGAUCUGUUAUCUCACACUACACAAAAUAAGAUCCACAUGCACACCUGAUUUCUGCUGUGGGUUUCUGGAUGUUUCAAAGUCCCCACAUUUGUUUGUGUUUUUCUUUGGAGCCAUUUAAUUCAUCACUUUUACACUAUAGCUGGACUAUGUAAUGUAGAGGUAAAGUAGCUAAAUACAUAGCUCUACAGGUACUGGGACAGGAUAGAGGAAAAGAAUGAGACCAAAAUGCCUGAUUUAUUUUACAGGCUCAUUUACAACAAUUAAAAGAACCUGCCAAAUUCUCAAAUGAUAUGAAUUGAUAUAUAUCUGUUGAUUUCAAUGGUGUUACAUUAAUUUAUUCCAGUUGAGAAGCUGGUAUGAUGUAAGGAAAAAAACUGUCCUCACUAAGCUCCUUCCCCCAACCUCCUGUCCUUUUACUGUAACUUUUAGGCUUAUCAGUACUUUUCCAACAAUGUAUGUAUCAACAAUAAAUGUCAUUCCCGUGCACCUCUUUCAUCUCCAUCUCGUAAGGCUGGCUAUGUAGACCAAACAUACUCUAGCAUAACUCUAGCUGAAGCAUGGAAAAUAGUAGUUUGAAUCUCCAAGGGUUUUAGGAAGCUGCUAGGACUUAGGUGCUCUAUAUUUGUCUGAAACAUUAGAAAUGCAGCAUAUACUUGUUCAUGUCAUAUGGAGGAUUAUCAUGCAUUAAGGUUAAACACUGUUGCUGCUGUGGCAAAGAAAAAGUACAUAGAAAAAAAUAUUUUAAUCUUAGACAUGAGUCACACCUUCUGCCAGUUUUUCUAAAAAAGAAAAAAAAUCCAACUACUCAAAAAGAAACCCAAAACUGCAUGAAAGAUUGAUUGGUAUUUCCUGUUUGUAGAAAUUGGAAUAACUUCUCCAAAGCUAGAGAGAGGUCUGAUGUCACGUCUGGAAAGGUUAAUAUUUAAUCAACUCUGUUUACAAGGAAGAAAAUUAGGGAAACAAGUUAAAAAAAGAUCCCAAGUGUUCUACUUUGAAUUAAUCUUCUCUCCUGAUUUUUUCUAAAGUUUUCUUUCCUGACUGGGAACAAUACUGAAGUCUCGAAUCCUGCCCAUUUAACUUGUGCUGCGUGAAUUUCAGUGUGAGGCUGAAAAAGCUGCUUUUCAGUCACAGUCAUCUAGGGGUAAGAAAUUGAGAAGUCUCACCAAAGGAGGUUUUUUUAUACCCUGCUUGUGUCUCUGUGACAUAUUGCCCUCUCAGGGCUUCUGAGGAGUGUGCAGAAUUUGUUGUUAGAUUUGGAGGUUUCUGACAGAAGCUGAAUCAACUCAACAGCUAGGGAGAAAAAAAAAAAAAAAAAAAAAAUAAAAAAAAAAAAAAAAAAAAAAAAACAACAAAAACCAAACCAAACAAAAACCUACACCACAACUUAUAUAUUGCAGUGCUCUUGAUAAGAGUUAAUUCAAGACAGUUAAUUGUGCAGCUGAAUCUCUUUCUUUGCCCCCUACACACUUCUGCAGUCACCCUGGGGUUUCCACAUGGUGAUCUUUUUUUUACAUAGAUGAAAAUCAAAGAAUUUCGGUAUGAGGUAAUAACCCACAGCAAACUUGAGAUGAGGUUACAUGUGCAACAGGUGCUGUUUUUCCAGGCAGUGCAUUGCAAAGGUAUGUAUAUAUCUGGUUAUUGUUUUGAUGGGAGUAGGAGACAGACAAGAAAGAUUGAUAUGAUAUGAUAUGAUAUGAUAUGAUAUGAUAUGAUAUGAUAUGAUAUGAUGGGAUAUGAUGAUUCUUCACCACUUAUUUUGGAAGACUUAAUGAGAAGUAGUGUCCAGGGAAGAGAAAGAAAUCUUGAAAUUUUAUCACUCUCAUAUGAAGAGGAAUAUCUGUGGCCAGCCCAAUAACCAGAACUCUAACCAAGCAAUUUUAGAAAGCCAUUUAUAUUGAAGUUAGUAUUGGUGCCAUUCUUCUUCAGUCAUGAUUUGCAACAGCCCUUUUGCCUCAUGCUGGCUGUUUGCAUGAUACAUGAUUACCUGAGAGUGUUUCUGCAUGAUGAGAUGUGUAAUGAUGGACUCAUUAGCUGUGUUGCUUUAUGUUGCUUUAUCUUCUGCGGUGAAAUCCAGGGAAAACAAUUCUCUUUUCUUCUUCCUUUUUCAUUCCCUCAGAUGAAGCUGCUUUGUUUGGCAUGGCGGGAGGGGAGGAAUAAGUGAGCAUGUGGGCUCCUCUGCCCAUGUUUAAGUCGUCUUAUCAGAAAUGGCCUCUUUAUGAGACGUCUCUGAAGUCCUAACGUACUUAAUUGCCUUUGUGAAUAAUGGAAUAGGAAGGAUGGGAAAGCCCCCUGUAGCCAAACAAACAGAUCUAAAUAAUCCUUCUGCUUUCCUACAUGUUAGUUUCCAGGAAUAAAAUUACUACAAAGUGCAGCAAUAAAGCACAAAGCAGCUCCAGCAGUGGAGUAGCUGAAAAAAGACUGAGCAAUGAAGCAGAGUCCUCUAAUUUCUCAAGUGACUAAAUUACUUUCAGCCAUCUUAGGGCCUGAUUCUGCAGGAUGCUGAAUUUUCUUAAGGAGGAUCAAGUUCCCAUCGCUGAAUAUAGAUGUUAGUGCUGCUGCAGACAUCUCGGAUACAGGUCAGUGGUUUAGUCUGGGGCCAGUGUACAGAUGUAAGGAACAUGCUGUGUGCAAGACCCAGCCUGGCAAAACAGCGUAAGUGGUUUGUUUUUCCAUUUCUCCUUAUCCUCAUUUAAUAUAGGCUAGGCUGGUAAAACUCCCUGAAAAUUUAGCUACCUUGGUAUGCACCUGUGAAAAGAAAGAAUGCACAUAUCUAAAUGCAUGUGUGAGAUUACAGAAACACGUGUUAUACCUGUGGAUGUAAUGAGAUAUGAAUAUUUAUAUGCUACAGGGCUGGACAACUGAACAUAUUUAUAUGGACUUGCCAGUUAAAAUCCUAUCUUCUAAAUCAGGACAUCAAUAUUCUUCUUCUUAAGAGGUAACUAAAAGAUAUUAUAUGAAAUACCCUACUACUAAGUCUCUUUUUCUUUUCCUUUUUUUGGCUAUAAUGCUUUCUUUAGUGAGGGCAUAAUCUGAUUUACUUCAGUACCAGUUAAAGGCAAUUAAAAAUAUUUUUUUAAAAAAGAGAAGAAAUUCAUUUUUAAAAAAAUCUACCAGUGUUAAAAUAGCUUUCAUUCUCCACAGUUCAAAUUAGACCUUUUUUCCUGUCUAUUACAAACCAUUUCCGCUAUUUUUAUUAAAAUUGCUCUUUAAAUAGGAGUAUCUUCCCUUUUUUCUUUUAGCUAUUGUUCUAUUAAUAGAUAACCUUUUUCAUUAAAUGUGGGAGAUAAUACUUUUUACAUCUAAAACAUCAGGAUUUAUUUUAAUGAAAAACCUGAGCAUAUCAAAGAAUCAUUUGGAGGUGGUGUUUGGGUUUUCUUCCUUCUCCCAGUAAAGUUCCAUAACAGAAGUAAGGGACUGGUAGAAGGAUACCAAGUCUCUUUUUCUCUUGUGGUGAUAUGAUAUGCAACCUCUGAAAAUUAUUUUUGCUACACAGGGAAUUUUAGGCUAUGAACUUUAUAAGUCACUUAUUUAUUUAGAUAUGGAUUUAGGCACUGCAAAUUCCUGUUUUCCAGAAACUACCUGACCAAUAAUAGCCAUGCUUAUAAGGACAUUUAGUCAUGCAAAAUCUGAGUUGGAUGCCUAGAAAGAUUUUCUGAGAACCCUGGUGUCUGGCUGUUACAGAAACUGAAUGAAUGCUGCCUGUCAGAAAGUUAAAUCCCACUAACUUGCAGUGAGACAGAGGCUGCCACCUGUGUGAAGUGUGGGUUUUCAAAGAAAUUUAGUCUCUGAGGAUGUGGAUCAGCACUUGUCUCAAAUUAAUUUCAGUUUUAUUUCUGCUUCUCCCUUCUUGUGAAAUGUUUUGAAAUACUGCAAGAUAUUUAAAUAACUUUGAAAGUUGAGUCGCAGUUGUCUCUUGGAAAUAAAAUGUUGGUCUAAAGUAAGUCACCUAUUUAACUUGCAGUAAGUACUUUAUCUGUCCUUAUUCAUUUACUAGAGACAUGGCAGUAUGAGUGUUUUGAGUAAAUUUUUAACACAUACAUUUUUUUUUUUCCUUGUUCUUGCACAGCACUUAGGGUACAUCUGCAAUGAAAACAAAGCCAAACAAAACACAGGCUUUUAAGUCACAUUGGCUAAACCAGGUUUCUCAUCUGGAUUAAUAUAGCUGUGAAAACAAGCCAUUUAGGGCCGUAGUGUUACCAGAUUUCUUUUCAGUCAUGAGAUUCCCCUGACAUUUAAGUUAAAACUCGUAGUCAAAAUUCAAACAUGAGAUGCUUUUUCUUUGCUUAAUUUUAAUCUGAUCUAGCCAGACUUAACCCAUCCUAUUUAGCAAUUGCUCAGUUUUUACAGUGUGAGCCAAACUCUCAUUUUAAUGAGUUGUUUGUCUACAUUAGCAUUUAGCUGAUCACAUAUUUCACAUAUUGGGUGAGAAAUGAUCAAUGCAUCAUAGUAGUUUCAAUAUAGUGAGGGGAUAUGAAUCUUCUCCUAAUGAAGUUGGCUAUUGAUUUUGCUGAGCAUGAGAUUGAGACCUAUGAAAGCACCUGAAGAUUGCUUUUGUCUGAGUCUUUCAGGUUUGUUUCAUUUUGUAUUUGGUUUUACAGGUUACCUGUUUUACACUUGUCAUCCAGUUCUGUGGUCAGCGAGGACAGGGCAAAUGUCUCAGUCAUUCUUUAAACAAUCACUUUCUAGAGGUGCAUCUUUCCAUUGAUUGUAGAGACAAGGCAGGCUCCUAGCAACUGGUUAGCUACUUCUAGCAGAUUUUGCCUACAUAUAGGAAUCCUACACUAGUCUUGCAGCUCCAGUAGACACAUCUGCACAGGUCUUAAGAGAGAUUUGGUUUUUAUUGAGAUGUUGCUGGGGUCAAGGAAGGACACCUCUUUGCAUCUAAAAUUUCACUAGAGAUCUGUGCUUCGGAAAUGCACCUGUCUACUCAUAACCAAAUACAUGAAAAUUACUUUCUAGCCCUGCAUGUCUAGUGUCAUUUAAAAUGAACUAUAGAGUAUCUCUGCAGCUCCACUAGGGAUGUGAGUCUCUUUUCUCUUAUAUCUCGUAUCUGCUAGACACAAGAAGAUAUUUCUAAUACAUGUUGGCUUUCCAAAUUAUAGCAAGUGCUCAUCGAGAACCCCCAAGUUCUCAAUGAGAUGAAUCUUUAGAACAAAAUCAACCUUACUUUCCAUCAGCAUAAGCUGAUCAGCUGAAGUGUGUCCCUCACCUUAGUUUAACAAGAGUGUAACAGGGAGGAAGAAUUUGACCCUUUUGUGCUCCACUAUCUCGUGUCAUUGUUGUUGCUAUUACUUACACAAUGCUUACACUGAAGAAGACCAGUUUUAAGCAUUGUUCUGCAAUGCCAGCUUUUCACUGACAAAAAGGAGUUUUUAAUUUUUUUUAUAUUAUUAGUUUUUAGAAAGCAACACUUUCUUAAACACUUGAGUAAAAGCUGAGACCUUGUGAAGGUCUCUCAGACGAGGGCUAUUUCAAAGCUUUCAUGCAGUUUUGUAAUGUCUACUUAUCAAACAAGCCAAGUGAUACUGUUACAUCCCCUCCAAACCAAAGGCCUUAUCCAGAAUCUUUUGAAGUUGGUGGUAGAUCUCUUGGUUGACUACAGUUAGAGUUGCACCAUGCUCUUGCGGGUUUCUUUGAGGUUUUCUUUAUAAGUUAUCAUAGCUUCAAAACAUUUGUUCUCCUUGGUUCUGCAUUUUGCUGCGCUUCCUUUCCAAAGAAAAGUUCUCCAUGUCCCCUUUUAAUGGAGGUGGCCCAUCCUCUGUGCUCCUUUUGUACAUGAAAAUUCUAAACACACUCUUAUUUUGGGUCUGAAACAGCUUUUUUCUUUGGUUGUUUAUUUUGAGUCAUGCAUAUAGAAGUUUGAAUAUUUCUAUGUAUUGGUACUUAUUUUUGUGAUAUUUUGCACUAAGUUACUCUAACAAAAACUGGAAAAAAAGCACACUUUCUGGUGAACUAUUGUAAUUUGUAAGCUCGUUGUUUGUUGUUUGUAAUGUACUGAGUCUACAAGUCGAGCUAAGGAAGGAUUAAGGCAACAGUUUGUGUUCACAGUGUCACACCAUAUCUAGUUUACCCCUGUUUUCUUUCUCUGUGCUUUCUUCUUUACCAUGUAGGGCUUUCAAACUGCUGGUAGGAGCCAGAGGAACUUGUGUUAUGACUCUAAGGUUAUGAUUUUUCUCCUUGCAGUCAAAGAAACCAGAUAUUCAAAGAAAGCACACGAUUCUCAAAAUGUCACCUGGGUGCUCAGCCAGAAGGGAGGCUGCACUCCACCGUGAAGAAGUGGUCACUUACAGGUCGCCACCUCUAAGGGCAAACGGGGACAUUAACUCUCCAAAUGAGAAUUGCAAUGAGGCAGCACAAGAGGUAGAAGCUCUCAGAAAGGUUGUGCUGUUGGAAGCCAGGCACAGUAACCAUCAGGUGGAUAUGAGGGUUUCGGGUCUUUUUCCAUGAUUCCUUUUUGCCGUGGAAUGAAUUACUAGUUAGCCUGCCAAAACAUGGCCCUAAUUGUCCUGAUGUUCUGUAAAGUAUCAGAGAUGUUCUUCAAUCAUGGGAGAGGAUUUCAGACCUCUGGCUGAUACUAAUCUGACUCUCUCCAGUUAGAUCUCUGGAGCUCUUCCCAAAAGAAUACUCAAAGAAUUGGGGACAAUUUCCAUCAAACAAUCGUAACAUUUAAUGAAAUGUUUGGUACAAGAGGUGAUCCAGAGAAUGGUGUUUGCUUAGAGACUCUCCUCUCCCCAUCUCUUCCUCACUUAGGAUGCUUGUGGCAGCUUUUUUCUAAUCUACUGACUGCUGUUCACAUUGUAACAUCAUUUGCUUCUCGAUACACCAGUCAUUACUCUCUUCACGGAUUUCAAUCCCACAACCCUAAAGAGAGUUCGUCUGAUACGAUUUUGCAUGGGAAAUUAUUUACUCACUUUUGCAUGCCAUAGCCCUUUACAGUUCCUUCUUGCAUCAUUUAGCCAAACCAUUUUCUGACGUAUUUUGUCAUUGCUGCCAAUGUUGAGAACAUGUAUCAUUAAGAAAACUGAUUGCUUCUGAGGUAAAGCUUAGAUACAGCCAGUCACAGCCUGACAUCCCACACGCGAGACAGAGAAGUACUUGGACACCCAAGCCCACUCCACAAAAUUUCAGAUAGAGGUUAAGAGAGCAAACAGGUACAAGUUUUUUUAGGCAUCUAGCCAUAAAAGUCUCUGUGAGUAUUGCAAAUGAAAUAUUUAACAUAGACCAUUAUAUCUAAAUGAUAGUGAGAAUCGAAACCUCAUAGUACCUGAUCCACUUUGAAACCCACUUCGUGAAAGAAACAGAGCCAGCUUCAGACCUCAUUGUAGUCCUUUUGAGGUCAAUGUAGAUACACCAUAGAUGAAUUUAACCUUGGAUUGCUCUAGGUAAGGGCAGUGAUGAACUCCUACAAACUGAGGCUGACAUAUAUGAAUUCAAGUCAGGACCUUAUAUUCAUCAUCCCCAUCUGCCGUUAAUAGGAGUUGCAUUCACUGCAAUUAUGUGUGUCUUCUAGUAGAAGUGUGGAUAAAACUUGGGACAAGGCAAUGACCUUCAGCUCCACAUAAGCCCAUGACAUGGCUUAAGUCACCUUCAAGAGUUUCUGGAAAUGUGUGUAGGAGAAGUGUGAUCUGUGGGUGGUCUGUUGCCAACAACCUUGGAAGCCCACUCACUGACUUUGAAAGGAUUUUAAUGGAGUCCACCCCUGGGUGGACUGUUGUGAACUGUAUCCUAACCGAAAAAUGAAGGCACCCUAAAAAGAAAACAGAAGGCAAAAAUGAGCAGCUUCACAGGCUGUGAAAGCUAGCUGAGAUUAAAUAGUUAUAAUAAUAAAAAAUUGGCUCUUUCUGCAGAUGAACCCCUCAUCAUUCAUUUUACUUUGUUCUACUCAAAUUAUUUUAAAUAAAUCUCUCAGAACACUACUCAUUUCAAUUGCAAAGAAAAAAAAAAAAGACUACUUUUUUCUUUUAAUGGUUUGUCCAAGGGUAAUGCAAGAGUCUCUCAGUUACAGUAAAAAGCAAAAUGGAGAUUUAGAUUAUUCUGCUUUCACUAUCUGGUUUUCUGAAGAGAAUUCCACAGGACGUUGCCUCAGUCCAAGUCAGUUUUGUAGACAAUGUAACAUGUCUUAAUCCACCGUCCGGGGAUUGGAAAAAUUUAGCCUUAGCUUCUUUUGUUUUCUAUGGUUAUUGUUGUACAGAAGAAAGACUUAAACUGUAAAUAUUGUAUAUUUAAUAAAAAGAGACUUUUUGUAUGAUUUUGUGUGGAAGACAAA